Molecule: ribosomal RNA, 253 nt
Filed under: uncultured bacterium
Lineage: Bacteria
Description: partial 16S ribosomal RNA
Rfam family: Bacterial small subunit ribosomal RNA
Source: RNAcentral
UACGGAGGGUGCAAGCGUUAUCCGGAUUUACUGGGUUUAAAGGGUGCGUAGGUGGGUUGGUAAGUCAGUGGUGAAAUCUCCGAGCUUAACUCGGAAACUGCCAUUGAUACUAUCAAUCUUGAAUAUCCUGGAGGUGAGCGGAAUAUGUCAUGUAGCGGUGAAAUGCUUAGAUAUGACAUAGAACACCAAUUGCGAAGGCAGCUUACUAAAGUAUGAUUGACGCUGAGGCACGAAAGCGUGGGGAUCAAACAGG